GGAAUCUUCGGCAAUGGACGAAAGUCUGAUGGAGCAACGCCGCGUGAGUGAAGAAGGGUUUCGGCUCGUAAAACUCUGUUGUUAAAGAAGAACAUAUCUGAGAGUAACUGUUCAGGUAUUGACGGUAUUUAACCAGAAAGCCACGGCUAACUACGUGCCAGCAGCCGCGGUAAUACGUAGGUGGCAAGCGUUGUCCGGAUUUAUUGGGCGUAAAGCGAGCGCAGGCGGUUUUUUAAGUCUGAUGUGAAAGCCUUCGGCUCAACCGAAGAAGUACAUCGGAAACUGGGAGACUUGAGUGCAGAAGAGGAGAGUGGAAUUCCAUGUGUAGUGGUGAAAUGCGUAGAUAUAUGGAGGAACACCAGUGGCGAAGGCGGCUCUCUGGUCUGUAACUGACGCUGAGGCUCGAAAGCGUGGGGAGCAAACA
Molecule: ribosomal RNA, 424 nt
Filed under: uncultured bacterium
Lineage: Bacteria
Description: bacterial SSU rRNA
Rfam family: Bacterial small subunit ribosomal RNA
Source: RNAcentral